RNAcentral lists this ribosomal RNA (253 nucleotides) under uncultured bacterium. RNAcentral's name for it is "partial 16S ribosomal RNA". It matches the Rfam family "Bacterial small subunit ribosomal RNA", at positions 524 to 776 of the family's 1533-position model. The record is from RNAcentral.
UACGUAGGGGGCAAGCGUUGUCCGGAUUUAUUGGGCGUAAAGAGCGUGUAGGCGGCUAGAUAGGUCCGUUGUGAAAACUCGAGGCUCAACCUCGAGACGCCGAUGGAAACCAUCUGACUAGAGUCCGGAAGAGGAGAGUGGAAUUCCUGGUGUAGCGGUGAAAUGCGCAGAUAUCAGGAAGAACACCCGUGGCGAAGGCGGCACUCUGGGACGGUACUGACGCUGAGACGCGAAAGCGUGGGGAGCGAACAGG